Molecule: ribosomal RNA, 468 nt
Filed under: uncultured bacterium
Lineage: Bacteria
Description: partial 16S ribosomal RNA
Rfam family: Bacterial small subunit ribosomal RNA
Source: RNAcentral
GACGAACGCUGGCGGCGUGCUUAACACAUGCAAGUCGAACGGAAAGGCCCUGCUUUUGUGGGGUGCUCGAGUGGCGAACGGGUGAGUAACACGUGAGUAACCUGCCCUUGACUUUGGGAUAACUUCAGGAAACUGGGGCUAAUACCGGAUAGGAGCUCCUGCUGCAUGGUGGGGGUUGGAAAGUUUCGGCGGUUGGGGAUGGACUCGCGGCUUAUCAGCUUGUUGGUGGGGUAGUGGCUUACCAAGGCUUUGACGGGUAGCCGGCCUGAGAGGGUGACCGGCCACAUAGGGACUGAGAUACGGCCCAGACUCCUACGGGAGGCAGCAGGGGGGAAUAUUGCACAAUGGGCGGAAGCCUGAUUCAGCAACGCCGCGUGCGGGAUGACGGCCUUCGGGUUGUAAACCGCUUUCGCCUGUGACGAAGCGUGAGUGACGGUAAUGGGUAAAGAAGCACCGGCUAACUACGUG